GUCCACAGCCAUACCACCCUGAACUCGCCCAAUCUUGUCUGAUCUCAGAAGCUAAGCAGGGUCGGGCCUGGUUAGUACUUGGAUG
RNAcentral lists this ribosomal RNA (85 nucleotides) under Fukomys damarensis (Damara mole-rat). The record is from RNAcentral. Lineage: Eukaryota; Metazoa; Chordata; Mammalia; Rodentia; Bathyergidae.